Molecule: long non-coding RNA, 408 nt
Organism: Mauremys mutica (yellowpond turtle)
Lineage: Eukaryota; Metazoa; Chordata; Testudines; Geoemydidae
Exons: 4
Source: RefSeq, a predicted model, not a curated record
GCUGUAAUCAAUGCACAUUAAACUCCCAGUCAGAGCUAUUCAGCUCUCUGAGGUGAGGGAGUUAGAGGAGUGAUAGAACCUCACCAGAAGAAGCCGCCUUUUAAUCUUCAUCAAGGGGGACUUUGAAACAAGUUCAGCAAAGAAGACAAAAGAAACCGCUUAUGGACUUUGGGAGCAGAUUUGAUCAGCCAUAUCACUGGUUUUUUUAAAUGAUGGUGUCUGUAAUCCACCAUAGGACAGACAUCUGGAGAUCACACAGGAACCAUUCAUACUUCAGGACUUGGUUAUGAUGCAGGGAACAGAACUGGGAAAUAAUGCUACUGAAAUGUGUGCACUUACAAUUUUUGCAGUCAGCAGCAAAUGUCUCCUACAUAUUCCAGUGCCAUCAAGAGUUUAGAGCUGACAAAG